ACGGGGUGCAGCAGGCGCGAAACCUUUACACUGCACGAAAGUGCGAUAAGGGGACUCCAAGUGCGAGGGCAUAUAGUCCUCGCUUUUUGCGACCGUAAGGUGGUCGCGGAAUAAGUGCUGGGCAAGACCGGUGCCAGCCGCCGCGGUAAUACCGGCAGCACGAGUGAUGACCGCUAUUAUUGGGCCUAAAGCGUCCGUAGCUGGCCGUGCAAGUCCAUCGGGAAAUCCGCGCGCUUAACGCGCGGGCGUCCGGUGGAAACUGCAUGGCUUGGGACCGGAAGACCUGAGGGGUACGUCCGGGGUAGGAGUGAAAUCCCGUAAUCCUGGACGGACCACCGGUGGCGAAAGCGCCUCAGGAAGACGGAUCCGACGGUGAGGGACGAAAGCUCGGGUCACGAACCGGAUUAGAUACCCGUGUAGUCC
RNAcentral lists this ribosomal RNA (423 nucleotides) under uncultured archaeon. Its description in RNAcentral is "bacterial SSU rRNA". It matches the Rfam family "Archaeal small subunit ribosomal RNA", at positions 325 to 747 of the family's 1478-position model. The record is from RNAcentral.